AAGGACCAUGAUUGGACAAGGAGUUCGUCCUAGGGGACACCGUCCCGACAUCCAUUGAGAAAUUGAUUUUACUGAAAUUAAACCAGGUAUAUAUGGAUACAAGUAUCUCCUAGUGUUUGUAGACACCUUCUCAGGAUGGGUCGAAGCCUUCCCCACAAAACACGAGACUACAAAAAUGGUCACCAAGAAGCUCCUUGAGGAAAUCUUUCCCAGGUAUGACAUGCCUCAAGCGUUGGGGUCGGACAACGGGCCCGCUUUCGUCUCCCAAGUAAGUCAGUUGGUGGCCAAAUUGCUGGGGAUUGAUUAAAAAUUACAUUGUGCCUAUAGACCCCAGAGUUCAGGUCAGGUAAAACACAUAAAUAAAACAAUUAAAGAGACUUUAUCCAAACUUACGCUUACAACUGGCUCAAAGGAUUGGGUGGCCCUCCUUCCCCUAGUUCUAUAUCGGGCCCGGAAUACCCCGGGCCCCCAUGGUCUAACUCCUUUUAAAAUAAUAUAUAGAACACCACCCCCAUUUGUCCAUUUCUUUGAUUCAAACAUUGCUGAUUUUGCUGACAGCCCUUCUCUGAGGGCCCAUUUACAGGCCCUACAGAUUGUACAGAGAGACGUCUGGAGACCAUUGGCUGCUGCUUACCAGGACGAGCUUGAGCAUCUGGUGGUGCCACACCCGUUCCAGAUUAGAGACACCGUGUGGGUGCACAGACACCAGACCAAGAAUCUCGAGCCACGGUGGAAAGGACCCUACACCGUCCUCCUGACUACCCCGACCGCCCUAAAGGUAGACGGAGUCGCGGCUUAGAUCCACACAUCACACGUCAAGGCAGUCCGGUCUGAGGAAUUGACUAAUCACAACACUACACCCCAGACAUGGAGAGUUCAGCACACUCCAAACCCCUUAAAGUUAAAACUCCUACGUGGCUCCUCCUAGCCCUUUUGUGGCCUAGAGUCAGUGGGGAAAUAAGCCCCCACCAGACAGAAAUUUCUUGACCAAGUCGAGUGAAAGAUUUCACUCAAAGUUAGCAAAAAAAAAAAAAAAUGGGGGAAUGAAAGACCCCAGCUUAGCAGCAGUAACGCCAUUUUACAAGGCUGUACUUAAGAUGACUGGUUCAGAGAAAGGUUAGAACACUGAGUACACAGCGGCUGCCAAGCAAGAUGUGUUUGGUUGAAGGCCUGGCAACAGGACGACUGCAGUUGAGCACCUGACAAUGAGAAAAGCCCCGGGAGAGGUUCCACACCCUGGUGGGGGGCCGAGUCAGUCGUUAUGUUCCAAGAAGGUAGCUAAGAAACUUGCCCCCGGGCUGAACCCUUGGGGGGCCGAGUCAGCCGUUAUGUUUCUGGAAGGUAGCUAGGAAACUUGCCCCCGGGCUAAACCCUUGCCAUAUUAGAAUCCACCAAUUAUAUCCCUGUAACCAUGCAUCUGCUUCUGUAUGCUUGCUUCUGCUCCCCAAAAUCCUAUAAAAGCCCAUCCUUGGUUCCGUGGGGCGCGCCAGUCCCCCGAGUGACUGAAGCGCCCGCAGGUGCCUGUGCCUGUGUAUCCCGACAAUAAACCAAAUCCUCUUGCUGAUUGCA
Rattus norvegicus (Norway rat) is the source of this 1569-nucleotide non-coding RNA. The record is from RefSeq and is a predicted model, not a curated record. NCBI's taxonomy places the organism in Eukaryota, Metazoa, Chordata, Mammalia, Rodentia, Muridae.